ACAAGAUUUCCAGGACAAGAAAAAGCAUCAGCCACACAUGUCCAGCUGUCAGAUCUCCUUCAUCAAGGAAUAUUUGCGAGACUCAUAAAAGCAUCCGAAGAGAGAGAGAGUCGGUCGUUCUAUCCUCUGAGCAAGGAAAGAGAAGCUUGUGCAUGGCCGGUGCAUGUUCCAGAGGAAGAAAGGCAGUGGGUGAGAGGGACACUUUGGGCCAGGCAACCAGUCCCAGGAGCACCCAGAACUGCAGCCCCGCCCCGUGGCCUGCGUCUAGGCCUCUGCCAGAUCUCCUGGGCCUCUCUGCAAAGAGCUCAAGCACUGCUGGUUUCCACAGCUUUCGAACUCAGCCCGAAGCUUCCUCGGCUACACUGAGGGGACUAACGCGUGACUAGGAUGCCAGGUUCCCACAGCAAAUCACAUAGAAGUCCCUGCUUCCUCUUACAUGCUGGAUCCCCAUGCCUGCCGGUCAGUGGGGCCUUCACAGGGUCCCCUUGCAGUGCCUGGGACACCUGGACCUUUUCCUCAGACACGGGCCCCGGUCCUCUUGUGCAGUGCUGGCCCUGCAUCCCUGAGUCACAGCACACACCGACCACUCCAGAGCCGCUCCCCGGCUGGCAUCAUAUGCAUGGCCAGUGUCUACCAUCUCCCACCGAAGACUUUGCCCAGCUCAAGACCAAGGAGACCAGGUGACUCUGUGACCAGGAAAGUGUGGCUCAGCUGCACAGGCCCCCUUGGGCUGCAACAACCCUUCCUGGGUAGUAGCGAGCCCCGAGCCCUCUCGGGGUCAGGCCCCCCCACACCCUGGGAAUUCUGCUGCAGCAGGAGGUGCUGAGUCAGCCACAGGCCCUGUGGACAGCCCAGCUUCAACUUCAGCAUAUAAAUCCCGUCCUGCUCUGCAGCUCAUACAAUGGCAAUGACAUCCCCACCACCAAAGUCUGUAGGCUUCCCAUGUGACAUUUUUAAACAAAAUGUUAAACUUAUACCCAUAAAAUAAUAGAAAAUGAUAGCCCAGCCAGCAACAUUAAAAGCUGCUUUUUCUAUGAAUUCCGUCUAUUGACUGCUAAGCGUCUUCUGUGUGUUGGAUUUUCUGCUUAGCCGUGAAGACAUAGAAUUGAAUGGAGACAUUGUACCCACCCUGACCAGCUCAGAGCCAUGGCCCAGGACAGACUACAGCCUAUCAGGAACCAGCACCACAGAGCAGGUCGUGGUGCAGUCCUUCUUUGCAUAUAAAGUUGUUACAACUUGGAUCUAAAAUGACCUCAAGGAUCUCACAUGUGUCCAAGGUGACUGGAUCCUGGGGCGCUGUGCUCCUCAGUGGCUCCAUCACGGGUAGUGAUUCUACAGCCAAAACCUGAAGGAGCCAGGUACGGUGGAGUCUGCGGAAAUGUGUCCUGUUCACUCCUGCACCGGGGCAUGAGUAAUCAUGCAGGGAAGGCACUUAUUUUCUCUCUGCACCAACUUCUAUAAAGUAUGCAUCAAAGUGCUGCACUGAGGACAAAUCAGGCAACAUAUUUGAACUAUAAAAGCAUAUUGUGGGGAUUGAGGAUUUACUAAAUCUUUCUCCUGCCUCAGCCUCCCACAGUGCUGGGAUGGCAGGCGUGCGCCACCACCUGGACCCAGCUGUUCUCCAGCGAUUACACUACUGCUGUCCCCUGAGCAAAGAGAACCAUGAAGAACCUCACAGGAGGUUCGCCACGGACAAACACAGCCAAGGCGGGACAGCUCUGCCUUCCCUCAUCCAGGGCUACUUCUGCCCCAGCCCCAGGAUGCAGGGACCUUCUCCAUCAUGCCAGGCUUCACACUGCCUCCACAUGGGUCAAGGCCAGGUGCUGUGUGGGAAGCAUCUGACCUCUGCUUCUCCUUGGGGCCACACCUUCUGUGACUCUCCAGGUCAUUGUCCAUUGCCAUAUGUAGCAGAGCUGGGAUUUGAAAGGCGCAUCAGGAGAGUCUGUGUCCAUGAACCCCAAACCACGCCACCUUCCUGGGAACUACAUUGUGUCAAUCAAGGUUUCACUGGCAGGCAGUGUAGUGGGGCACAGUGGGGAAAUUACCUUUCUGGCAUUGCCAAGUGGGUGACAUAUAAGACCAUGCAGCAUGGAACCAGAAGUGCAACUAUAGGACACAGAAACCAAGAACAGAGUGUGUACUUAAUUAGAUCACACGUGGUGCUAGGGUUUAGGUCUAGAAUCCCUCCCAAAAAGCUCCUGUGUUCAGAGCUGGAGCUUUUAGAAGGUGACAGAUCAUGGUUGCUGUGUUCAUCAGUGGAUCCAUCAUGGAUGCGUUCACAACUGAAUGUGCUGUAAGAGGUGGCCCUGGUUGGAGGAGGUCACUGGGGUGAGACCUGGAAAGGUGCAUUCCUGUCCCCAGCUCCUCCCUUCUCCUUGCUUCCAGGCCAUCACAAACUAAGCUAUUUCUGCCUUGGAGCGCUGACCAUGGACUGAUUCCUCAAUAUACUGUGAGCCAAAAUAAACUUCUCUUCGAUAAACUGUGGGUAUCUCUUCUCCCAGCGAUGAGAUCAACCCUAACCAGUUCUCAGGCUCUACAUGGUGAUGGGAAGGAGCUGCUGUCUCCAGGUGUAUUUCUUGGGGACACUGAUGAUGGAUUUCUGUGUUUUGCCAUCUGUAAUUGCUUCCCGUGGCAUGGGUCUGAGCCCUAAGAGUUCCCUGACUUCCACUUCCCACACUUCCAAAAGGGCAUCACACUCACUGUAUGGCUCAGGAAACUGGUUUACAAUCCUCUGUUUGCCACUAAUGAAGCUCUCUGGACAAGUUAUGUAAUCUCACUAACAUUCAGCUCCAUGUACACAACAGGCUACUCAGGGUAGCCCUAAGGUGACACUGAGAGGACUCUGAAGAGCAGCCCAUGUAGGAAGUUCAGCCAGCUCCUGCCAUUAGCACCAUGCCCAGUGGACAUUCACCGUCAUCUUGAAGGAUGAUUAAUGCUUUGUCAUUAUUUUCUCACCAAAACCUUUUUUAACAGGAAAAAAAGAAAAUUCCUGAGUAAAGCAAUCUCCUCAUUAAGACCUUACAUGUGCUGUGUGGACCGUAAAAGACCACACUGCCCUGCUUGAGAGUCAGCAAGGCUCUGGGUGGACCAUCCCACACCAGGCCACUGUCCCGAGGAGAAGCCACCCCAGCACCUCUCCACAUAGCCGUUGUUCACCUUAAGAGGUCUUUCCCACUGUUCUUCCAGUGGGAAAGUACGGCCCAAGCUUCAGGACCUGACAAGAGAGGUUAUUAUUGUCCUCAUCAUGGUACAAAUGACCAGACUCCAGUUAGCCCAAACUUGUUCCAAGGGUCAGACUUCACAAGUGACUUUCACAGGGCACUCACUUUACCCGUACUCUGCAGGAGUCUGAGUGAUCCUCUCUCGUCAGGGCUGUGACAUCAUUGCAAAUGUACAAGCGCUGGCCUGAGGCUUAAUGCAUUGCAGCCAUCCUGCAUUCUUAACUUAGGCUGGGGCUGCGGUUCCUCUGCCUAAAACAACACAGUCACGGGCCACAUGAAAGCAAUUUUCCCACCAGCACCUUCUUCUUAUUUUCCAGGCUCUCAGAGAACAGCCACCUCUCUCACCUUGCAGCCACCUCAGAUUGGAGCAUGGGACACAGCUGUCUGUGUGGCCCUUGGGGAAAAGAUGUGGCCCCUAGACUACUCACAGGACUGGGGGCCUCAGUGAACGCAGAGGGCAUCACAUGUGCCAGUGUGGCUGGGACUGGAUGCUCUAGACAUGCAGCCAACGGACACUGAGCUCCCACCAAGGGCCAGGGAAGCCCCUGAAGUGAGCCCAAGUAGGAGGACAAACGGAUCGGAUUUCUCUCCCGAAAGAUGACAAGCCACAUGGAGAACAAGCUGGUGGGAGAGAGAGAGCAAUCUUGAAUAUCAGGCUCAGUUGUCACGUAAGAGGGUGAAACCGUGCGAGAUGGGUUGUAAUGUUGGACCCACGCUGGCCCAUGGAUCCCGGUGAGAUGAAAAAUGUAAAGGGAGGAAUCUUAAUGUCAGUGGCACAGCCAGGACAUCACAACAGCUGGAAAUCAACACUAGCGGGGUCCCGGGCAGGCGGGGUGCAGGCGCCCUGUGACCUGUGUCUACCCUGUCCCUCUCCUGAGCAUUCUGGAAAUCUUUCCUGAGCCUAGGGAAAUUUUCAUUUGAUGAAUUAAUAAAAAG
Heterocephalus glaber (naked mole-rat) is the source of this 4157-nucleotide long non-coding RNA. Lineage: Eukaryota; Metazoa; Chordata; Mammalia; Rodentia; Bathyergidae. The record is from Ensembl.